CCACUGCCAAGUUACUCUAAAAUCAUGCACAGACUGAGCCCUACUACUCCGUACUGGGAUAUCUGAUCUACUCAGAAUCGUGACUGACUGAGAUUCUAUCAACGCUACCAAUUCCAUCCUCUCUGUGCUUUGAUACUUGUUUGUCCUUAAUCUCUCUCUUUCACAAUCAGUCAGCAAAUCCAAUGUUUCUCAUUUUUGAUGCACACCGGCGAUUGGGCAGCAUCCAUUCAUUGAGAGAGCAUGUCAAUGAAAAAAAAAAAAAAAAAAAAAAAAAAAAAGGGGGGCCUUCACGUGACAGAAACAGCAUUUGACUUGCUGCACUGCAAACCAUUAUAUAUCAGGCUCUGAUCAGAGUGUGAGGUCUGGAAGGUCUGGAAGGUUGCAAGGGUGCCAUAUUCGGAUAAAAGAAAUAAAUCUCCUCAAUGAUUCAAGCCUUGCAGAUGAAUUCUUAGUCAUGGUAUCCUUGGAUAGUUUCAAGUAACUAUGACCUGACCAGCAUGUUCUCAAUCCACAAAUGGCAAAGCCUUGAGCCAUGCCUCCCGCUCCACUUGACUCCUAGCCUUGCGGCUUAGGAACCUCUCGAUCCCAUCCGCCAGCUGUCUCUUUGAAAUUUCGUAAUCCUCACUGCUUACCCUUCCGUCCCAGUGCUUAAAACACCCGGUUUCAUUGAUGAAGUCGCUCAUAAGGUCAACCCCUUGGGCCCAUAACUUCUCGUCAUGCUCCUGUUGCUUCACCUCUGUAGCGGAGAAACGCAACGGGCAAGAUAUC
Molecule: small RNA, 768 nt
Filed under: Histoplasma capsulatum var. duboisii H88
Lineage: Eukaryota; Fungi; Ascomycota; Eurotiomycetes; Onygenales; Ajellomycetaceae
Description: Histoplasma capsulatum H88 hypothetical RNA
Source: RNAcentral